Molecule: transfer RNA, 77 nt
Filed under: Clostridium sp. CAG:571
Lineage: Bacteria; Bacillati; Bacillota; Clostridia; Eubacteriales; Clostridiaceae
Also listed under: 3 other names
Description: transfer RNA-Arg(ACG)
Rfam family: tRNA
About the family: Transfer RNA (tRNA) molecules are approximately 80 nucleotides in length.
Source: RNAcentral
GCAACUGUAGCUUAGUUGGAUAGAGCGUUCGGCUACGAACCGGAAGGUCGGGGGUUCGAAUCCCUCCAGUUGCACCA